GUUUUUGUAGUUGAAUAACAACAGUGGUUUUUCAGAUCACAGGUUUUGGGCGCAGCCAGAUAAAAACA
This 68-nucleotide transfer RNA is filed under the name Tropiocolotes steudneri. RNAcentral's name for it is "tRNA-Glu". Lineage: Eukaryota; Metazoa; Chordata; Lepidosauria; Squamata; Gekkonidae. The record is from RNAcentral.